CUUUUGUGGGGUGCUCGAGUGGCGAACGGGUGAGUAACACGUGGGUAACCUGCCCUUGACUUUGGGAUAACUUCAGGAAACUGGGGCUAAUACCGGAUAGGAGCUCCUGCUGCAUGGUGGGGGUUGGAAAGUUUCGGCGGUUGGGGAUGGACUCGCGGCUUAUCAGCUUGUUGGUGGGGUAGUGGCUUACCAAGGCUUUGACGGGUAGCCGGCCUGAGAGGGUGACCGGCCACAUUGGGACUGAGAUACGGCCCAG
This 256-nucleotide ribosomal RNA is filed under the name uncultured Actinomycetales bacterium. RNAcentral's name for it is "partial 16S ribosomal RNA". It matches the Rfam family "Bacterial small subunit ribosomal RNA", at positions 77 to 334 of the family's 1533-position model. The record is from RNAcentral. Lineage: Bacteria; Bacillati; Actinomycetota; Actinomycetes; Actinomycetales.